AGGAAGAAGCCUAGAUGUUCUUAGAACUCUGCUGAUGACCAAGCCAUUUCCGACACGGACGGCGGAAAAGCAGUAAUGCAGACACGGAUGGCUGCUUUACUGCGGUGGCGUAUUUUGCAUAUAAUUAUUCAGAGUUCUUAGAACAUCUUAGCUUCGUAC
RNAcentral lists this non-coding RNA (159 nucleotides) under human gut metagenome. The record is from RNAcentral.